Molecule: small RNA, 663 nt
Filed under: Pan troglodytes (chimpanzee)
Lineage: Eukaryota; Metazoa; Chordata; Mammalia; Primates; Hominidae
Description: processed transcript
Source: RNAcentral
GGAAGAAGAGACGAACUGUGAGGAGAGUAAACCAAGAAGAAAUCCACAGAUUUAGUUCUCAAGAAAAGCCUAGGCUUCUCGAGCCUUUGGAUUAUGAGACUGUCAUUGAAGAACUUGAAAAGACCUACCGGAAUGAUCCUCUUCAAGAUCUCCUGUUCUUCCCCAGUGAUGACUUUUCAGCAGCCACAGUUUCCUGGGAUAUCCGCACGUUGUACUCAACAGUACCUGAAGAUGCAGAGCACAAGGCAGAAAAUUUACUGGUGAAGGAGGCUUGUAAAUUUUAUAGUUCCCAGUGGCAUGUGGUAAACUACAAAUAUGAACAAUAUUCUGGAGACAUUCGACAGCUACCCCGCGAGGGUCCAUAGGAAGAUGCUGAAGAGAUAGAUGACUUCAGGCUAGAAUGGAAAAUGUAAGCCUUUACACACUAGGAAUAGAAAUCAGCACUAACUUGGAGAUCCCAGAAGAAAAAAGCAGCAUAAAAAUAUAUGAUGCCACUGAUUUCAUUAAUCCACUGGGUAAAAUACAGAGAUGUGUGACAUAUUAAAAAUUUUUACCAUGGUCGAUUUGAUAGAAAGAAGAUGUAAGGAAGAAAAAUUCAUAAGAGUAUAAAUUGUGACUAAAGAUCAAAUAAAGUGUGACCAGCUUAGCUGGGCUGAAAUAGAA